This 3556-nucleotide unclassified non-coding RNA is filed under the name Leishmania donovani. RNAcentral's name for it is "gene:LdHU3.22.1250(CDS-product:protein_kinase_put ative)". The record is from RNAcentral. Lineage: Eukaryota; Euglenozoa; Kinetoplastea; Trypanosomatida; Trypanosomatidae.
ACCCUCGCAUACACCACCGGCAACCCCUCCUCCUUCUUUUCCCGCCCCCCCCAUCUGCAGGGUCUAUUGUAACGCCUCCUAACUUCCCACAAGAGGACAGAGAAGCACACGCGGUCUGCAAGGGAGAGCACAGAAGAUGCAAUCCUCGGCGUCUCUGCCCGAACAGCAGCCUGUUAACGGCUCGAGUGACCCCCAGAACCACCACUAUGUCAACCCCCUCGUCUCUAGCUUUCCGACCGUGGUGGGGCCUAAGCUGCCAUGCAAGUACCGUGUCCGCCGCGCCAUCGGCCGUGGCGCCUUCUCCACUGUGUGGCUACUGAUCAACAACAGAACAGGCGAGACGGUUGUUGGCAAGCUGUCCGACGCCUCGCAUUCCUCUAGCGCCUGCAAGGCUUUCGCCGAGGCGGAGGUGGAGAACAUGCGGUGCUGUAGCCACCCCAACAUCAUCUCCCUCAUCGAAACCUUCGAGGCGGGCGAAAAGUCUCUGUACAUUCUGGAGUACGCCAACGCUGGCGAUCUGCAGGCUCAGGUCGACACCCGCGCGCAACCGCCACCUGGUGCGAACGACGGCACUCCGAUUCCGUACCGUGAGGACGAGGCGCUCGUUAUAUUUGCCCAGCUCAGCCUCGCCAUCCGCUACCUGCACGACCGCCGCAUCAUGCACCGCGACCUCAAAACAUCAAACGUGCUGCUGACGCGUAGCGGACUCAUCAAGCUCGGCGACUUUGGCUUUUCGCGUCAGUACCAAGAGAGCGUCUCUGGCGAAGUCGGCAAGACGUUCUGCGGCACGCCCUACUACUUGGCCCCGGAGAUGUGGCAGCGACAGUCCUACAGCUACAAGGCGGACAUCUGGUCCCUUGGAGUUAUCAUGUACGAGCUACUCGCCCUCAAGAAGCCAUUUCAGGCAACGAACCUGUCCGAGCUCAUGGAGACGGUGACGCGGCAGGGCAGCUUUGACCCGCUGCCGGCGGAUCGGUACUCGUCGGAUAUGAUCUCGCUGGUCAACCAGAUGCUCCGGGUGGACCCGAGUGAGCGCCCGAGCAUCAACGACAUACUCGCUUUGCCCCUCUUUCAGCAAAGAGGGCUGACGAUACUCAAAAUAAAUGUGCGACGCAUCAAGAACCUUGACGCGGAGGUGCGGACGCGGCUUGUAGAAGACGUGGAGGCGGUCCUCGGUGACAACAAUCUUUCCUCCGAAGCAUCGCCGUUGUGACAAGGAUAACGAGAGAGAGGUUGUAUGUGUGUCUGUAUGCAUGUCUGCCCAUGAAGAUGAGCUUGAGGUCGGUUUCUAUUUUUUAUUCUUGAGGAAAUCCUCGUGAGGCCGCUUUCCUAUCAGCGCACCUGCCGGCGCGUGGACGGGCUUGCCGAAGCGGCAGCGUUAGGGUAGCCGACGCCAACUGCCCGGAUGACGGGGUCGGCCACCGGCCCCAGGCGUUAGGUCGGCAUCCCCCGGAGCCGCGCUACGCGAUACGGCACGCUGAGACAAGAGGCACUUGGCAGCCGCCGCCCCACACGCGGAGAACAAGGCUGCUGAACUCAUGAGGCACACCUGGUUUCGCGCUAUGAUCUUGCACGCAGUGACCUGGCCACGCACAUCCCGCUCGCGCUGCAUGGGCUUCCCCCGCCGGGUGCCUACCGCUGCCCCCUGUGCUCCGUCGGAGCGACGUGCUGUGAGCUCUUUGUGCGCCGGCACAUGCUCACCGGCGGCCCUCUCCCCCGGCCACGACGCCGCGCUGAGGCGGGCCCCACAGCGCAGAACUGCGAGCGCGGUGCGCGGGCGCUGUGACGCACAGUCGGCACGCAGCGUACCGCACGCAGACAGUGCAUGGGGAGGCCGGAGGAGCAAGAGCGGUGGACGGGAACGGCGCGAAGCAUGCGGCACGCCCUCGAUGUGCCUGUGUGGGCUGAUGAGGCGCGGAUGCCGGAAGCGUGGCGAGGGCAUCCCGAGUUGCACCGUCGAGUCCUCCAGGCCCGAAUGUGGCGAGCCUGCGGGGAGCAGAUUAUGGAAUGCGGCUGCUCGAAGCGACCGAGGGCGCUGGCCGGAAGGUGGCCGACUUCCUCCUCGGGCCUGUGCGGCAUGCGCCCUCGAUCGGGAGCCCGAAUGGUGGCCGCGUGGGUGAAGGCGUGCCGCCCACCCGCGUCUCCGUGUGGCGCCGAUGGCGCAGCGCGCACCCGGGGAAGGGGCGAGGAAGGCCAUGAGGAUGCCGCUGCGCGCGUGGCCCGAUUCGACGGCAGGCGGCUCGUCCGAGACGGCCGGGACGAAGCCGUGGCGCCGCUGGGGGCAGGUGCGCUGUGGCUGUGUAUGUGCGCUGAUGUGCUGACUUGUUCGUGGCAGGGGUGUGGACAGGCUGAAGGGAUAAAAGUCCCUCGGUGAGCAUCACAAGCACUCACAGUCGUUGUGGUUCCUGCUGGCCUCCUCCACUGCCUUCUGCCCCGUCUGCGCGUCCUCUUUUCGGCCUCUGCCGCGAAGCGAUUCUCCCGUGGUUGCUGCAGUGGUUGUCGUGCCUGCCCAUCAUUUCGAGCUAGAUGGGAAAAGGGGCAACAAUACGUGCGCGUGUGCGUAAGUUGUCGUCGUUCAUUUUUUGUUGUUUCGUGACUGCUUGCCUUCCUCUUUAUGGUCUCUCUCUUCAUAUAUAUAUAUAUACAUGUAUGUAUAUGUGCAUAUAUAUGUGUGUGUACGUCUAUCGCUCGUCUUCGGGCUCGCAUCUCAUAAAGGAUGGGGUGAUAUUGACUUCUGGGUAACAUAGCGAACUCUUUUUUUUUCGAUUCGUUGCGGAUGUUGAUGCUGUUUCGCGGUCCUUUAUCGCGCGCGUGGAGUCUCUCUCUCUCGGGUGUAUCUCCUCUUUCCUUGCUCUCUUUGUUUGCUUAUCAGGUGUGGACGCGUGUGUGCAUGUGUGUGUGUGUGUGUCACGGAGUGUCCAUUUUCCCGGCUGGCUGGCUGGCUGCUAUGGUGGUGCAGGAAGAAGGUAGGUAGGGAGGGAGGGAGGGAGGGGAGCUUUUUAUUGCACGUAUGUGAAUACUGGAUGUCAUGCUCGUGUGGCAGUGCUGCCGUCGCCACUACCAGCGUUUCUUCUAUUUCUCGAAACCCUCUUCUCUUUGUAUUGUUUUCUUUCUGUAGUCCUGCGUGUGUAGGCCUGUGGGCGUGUAUUCGACUAGCCGCACGUUCUUUUACCACUUUGCUGUGUUGCGUCCCUUUCUCUCUCCCUCGCUUGCUCCAUGGCACGCUGGACUUCCCUUUUUUUUUUUUGAGGGGGCUGUUGCUUUUCGCCUCUUGCUGUCGUCGUUUUCAGAGAAGCGAUCCCGUUUGCUGGGGACCUUUUCCCCCUUCAUGGGUGUCGACACACCUUGCCAUGAUUUUUUUUCGUUCUCUAUAUUAUUUAUUUAUGCAAAGAAAUAUAUAUAUAUAUAUAUAUAUGCGCGUUGAUGUCGCUAGCCGUCCCUUUUCUCGCUGCCUGUCUCAGACUCCCCUGCUCUCUCUCCUCUCCCUGCCUCCCUACCCUCUCCGGUCGACGCGUCACGUCGUCGUGCAUCUCUGUAUGCGUCCACUCGCGCGUAG